UUCUGUUUGUUAAUCGGUUCGAUCUAUUACGCUUGCUUACUGCUUUCCUCGGGUGGGUAUUUCUCUAUUCGGUUCUUUCGAUUGCUUCAUCGGUUGAUUUUGGGGAUUAUUGGUUUUUUUGCUUGUUUGACUGUGAGUUCCGUUGAUUUGCAGCGAUCUUCUGAACUUGAGCUGAUGAGCUACAGGUUUACGGAAAUUGAAGUUAAUCCCCUUUAGUUAAUUUUUGCAAGUUAUCAUGGGGGAUUUUGACUUCGAAGAAAUCCGCUUUUUAACUUGAGGAGUUAGGCAUUUGAUUCCUAUCUCUUAGGGUUUAUAGGAUCUUCGUUCUGUUUUGUGGUUAAUUGUGAUGUUAUGGUAGUUUGUGACUUGCGAAUGUAUGAAUUGGUAUUAUCUCAUUGUAUUCAUCUUAUAGAGGUGGUGUUAAUGAUCGACUUUUAUUGCAGUGCCUCGCAACUUUAGAUUGUUGGAA
RNAcentral lists this long non-coding RNA (469 nucleotides) under Linum usitatissimum (flax). Its description in RNAcentral is "long non-coding RNA (LUSI_LNC001664)". The record is from RNAcentral. Lineage: Eukaryota; Viridiplantae; Streptophyta; Magnoliopsida; Malpighiales; Linaceae.